AGAGUUUGAUCCUGGCUCAGGACGAACGCUGGCGGCGUGCCUAAUACAUGCAAGUCGAACGCUUCUUUUCCCACCGGAGCUUGCUCCACCGGGAAAAGAGGAGUGGCGAACGGGUGAGUAACACGUGGGUAACCUGCCCAUCAGAAGGGGAUAACACUUGGAAACAGGUGCUAAUACCGUAUAACAAUCGAAACCGCAUGGUUUCGUUUUGAAAGGCGCUUUACGGUGCCGCUGAUGGAUGGACCCGCGGUGCAUUAGCUAGUUGGUGAGGUAACGGCUCACCAAGGCCACGAUGCAUAGCCGACCUGAGAGGGUGAUCGGCCACAUUGGGACUGAGACACGGCCCAAACUCCUACGGGAGGCAGCAGUAGGGAAUCUUCGGCAAUGGACGAAAGUCUGACCGAGCAACGCCGCGUGAGUGAAGAAGGUUUUCGGAUCGUAAAACUCUGUUGUUAGAGAAGAACAAGGGUGAGAGUAACUGUUCACCCCUUGACGGUAUCUAACCAGAAAGCCACGGCUAACUACGUGCCAGCAGCCGCGGUAAUACGUAGGUGGCAAGCGUUGUCCGGAUUUAUUGGGCGUAAAGCGAGCGCAGGCGGUUUCUUAAGUCUGAUGUGAAAGCCCCCGGCUCAACCGGGGAGGGUCAUUGGAAACUGGGAGACUUGAGUGCAGAAGAGGAGAGUGGAAUUCCAUGUGUAGCGGUGAAAUGCGUAGAUAUAUGGAGGAACACCAGUGGCGAAGGCGGCUCUCUGGUCUGUAACUGACGCUGAGGCUCGAAAGCGUGGGGAGCAAACAGGAUUAGAUACCCUGGUAGUCCACGCCGUAAACGAUGAGUGCUAAGUGUUGGAGGGUUUCCGCCCUUCAGUGCUGCAGCUAACGCAUUAAGCACUCCGCCUGGGGAGUACGACCGCAAGGUUGAAACUCAAAGGAAUUGACGGGGGCCCGCACAAGCGGUGGAGCAUGUGGUUUAAUUCGAAGCAACGCGAAGAACCUUACCAGGUCUUGACAUCCUUUGACCACUCUAGAGAUAGAGCUUCCCCUUCGGGGGCAAAGUGACAGGUGGUGCAUGGUUGUCGUCAGCUCGUGUCGUGAGAUGUUGGGUUAAGUCCCGCAACGAGCGCAACCCUUAUUGUUAGUUGCCAUCAUUUAGUUGGGCACUCUAGCAAGACUGCCGGUGACAAACCGGAGGAAGGUGGGGAUGACGUCAAAUCAUCAUGCCCCUUAUGACCUGGGCUACACACGUGCUACAAUGGGAAGUACAACGAGUCGCGAAGUCGCGAGGCUAAGCUAAUCUCUUAAAGCUUCUCUCAGUUCGGAUUGUAGGCUGCAACUCGCCUACAUGAAGCCGGAAUCGCUAGUAAUCGCGGAUCAGCACGCCGCGGUGAAUACGUUCCCGGGCCUUGUACACACCGCCCGUCACACCACGAGAGUUUGUAACACCCGAAGUCGGUGAGGUAACCUUUUUGGAGCCAGCCGCCUAAGGUGGGAUAGAUGAUUGGGGUGAAGUCGUAACAAGGUAGCCGUAUCGGAAGGGGCGGCUGGAUCACCU
RNAcentral lists this ribosomal RNA (1549 nucleotides) under Enterococcus mundtii ATCC 882. RNAcentral describes it as "bacterial SSU rRNA". It matches the Rfam family "Bacterial small subunit ribosomal RNA". The record is from RNAcentral. Lineage: Bacteria; Bacillati; Bacillota; Bacilli; Lactobacillales; Enterococcaceae.